GACGAACCGUGCGAACGUUGUUCGGAAUCACUGGGCUUAAAGGGCGCGUAGGCGGGCCUCCAAGUCCGGGGUGAAAUCCUCCAGCCUAACUGGAGAAGAGCCUCGGAGACUGGGGGCCUCGAGGGAGGUAGGGGCAAGCGGAACUAUGGGUGGAGCGGUGAAAUGCAUUGAUAUCCAUAGGAACUCCGGUGGCGAAGGCGGCUUGCUGGACCUCUUCUGACGCUGAGGCGCGAAAGCCAGGGGAGCAAACGGG
This 253-nucleotide ribosomal RNA is filed under the name uncultured bacterium. RNAcentral describes it as "partial 16S ribosomal RNA". It matches the Rfam family "Bacterial small subunit ribosomal RNA", at positions 524 to 776 of the family's 1533-position model. The record is from RNAcentral.